This is a long non-coding RNA of Aquila chrysaetos chrysaetos, 340 nucleotides long. RefSeq lists it as uncharacterized. The transcript is spliced from 2 exons. NCBI's taxonomy places the organism in Eukaryota, Metazoa, Chordata, Aves, Accipitriformes, Accipitridae. The record is from RefSeq and is a predicted model, not a curated record.
UCCGACUUUCCGGUUUUAGGGGGUAUUGUUGAAUUCUUACCGGAUUCGAUCCUGGCUUUAAAUCAAUUCUCACAGGUUCUGCUUUUUGGACUUACCGGGAACUUCCCAGGCCAGACGAUUGGAAUUACAGCGUUAUACUUUGACCGGUAUAAUCUUCGGCUUUCGGGAACGCUGCGAGGAGCUUUGCGAGUCGAGGGUGACGGUUCUCCCCGAGAAUACCUCGGUGCCGGCCGGAGUUCGAUCAACACUCGAUCUCGUCCAGUCUCACUCGCAAGGUCCCAUCCGGGUCGCCAAAACCGUUACCGAAAUCCGGAAUAAAACUCCUUAACGCCAACGUGAA